Molecule: unclassified non-coding RNA, 217 nt
Filed under: Hevea brasiliensis (rubber tree)
Lineage: Eukaryota; Viridiplantae; Streptophyta; Magnoliopsida; Malpighiales; Euphorbiaceae
Source: RNAcentral
GGGGGAUUCACAAAUCUGACAAAUUCUUCCUCUGUCAGCUUAGUCCAAAAAUACACUCAACCCUGCAAAUUCCCUUUAAAAAAUCUUACUGUAAAACUUAAAGUCACCAUUAAUGGUGAAUCAAGAAAGUCAAUCUUAAGAAUUUUCCCAUUUUUGAACAACCAUAGUCAUAAAGAUUGAGUCUUUUGAGUUUUCUGAGGAAAAAAAAGCUAUCUUU